GAAUACUGGUGAACAACUCUUCCACGCUUGCCAAGUUUACUUCUUGUGAUGAAUAAACCAUCCUGGUAUCAUGAGUUCAUGAUAUACUCAGAAUGUUUUUGUUUAUCAGUCCGUAUUUCUCUCUGUUCAGCUGACUUGUGCCCAGAACUGCACAGUUAUUUACUGUGCUCUCUUUAUAAAUAUUUUACCAUUAGUUUUUUGUUUGUUUGUUUUUGCUACCUAUGUAUACACCUCUUUCUCAUCUUGCCAAGGAAACUAUCAUUAUUUGCAUCUUCCAAGACUUUCUAACUCAUGAAGAAAACUGCACUGGGACUGAGUAGUAUGAGUUGGUUGACAGUGUGCCCUCAUUUUAGUCUUCAUCUUAUUUGGCAGAUAUGUUUACUUUUUGGAGAAAAUACAUUUUUCUUCUUUUUUUGUUUUUCGUGGAGUAAGUUUCAGGAAAUGGUGUGGAAUACACAUUUUGCUCCAUUGUCAUUUACCACCAGUCUUAAAAAUAGGACAUUUUCCUUUGCAGGGGACAUGGAUGAAGCUGGAAAGCAUCACCCUCAGCAAACUAACUCAGGGACAGAAAACCAAACACCGCAUGCUCUCACUCGGGAACAACAGGUUUGAAUACUGAUGAAGUGGAACUUCAGAGUCACGGUGUGCAUUGAACCGGAGCGAGGCAGAAAAAUACAGCAGACUCAUGACCAAACAGAAAGUGCCCCAGCCUGUUGACGCAGCAUAUAUUCUGAGCCCAACCAGUAAGUAGCAGACAUUGACAUGAAUGAAUAUGGUUAAAGGCAAAUGAAACAGCCAUCAAAGAUGUUUCUCUCCCUGACUCAGUGGCUGCAGGAUUUCAGAGGCACCCAGCAACAAGGGAAGGGGGAAUCUGCAUUAAAUAUUCUGAGCAGAGCAUGGGUAGCUGGUUCCCGACUAGAUAAACAAUUUGACAAACACCUAGGAAGAAUGUUUCUAACCUUCAUAAAACUGAAAGGACAGGCAAGAAAUGAGAUGGACGACACUGUCAUGGAAAUUACAGUCUCAGCGAUUUGGAGACAUUUCAUUCUGCAGAGGAGCUGGCACACUGGAGAAGGGAUAAACAGGAAGUUUAAAA
RNAcentral lists this long non-coding RNA (1096 nucleotides) under Callithrix jacchus (white-tufted-ear marmoset). RNAcentral's name for it is "lncRNA (ENSCJAG00000078040.1)". The record is from RNAcentral. Lineage: Eukaryota; Metazoa; Chordata; Mammalia; Primates; Cebidae.